This 403-nucleotide ribosomal RNA is filed under the name uncultured Eubacteriales bacterium. Its description in RNAcentral is "bacterial SSU rRNA". It matches the Rfam family "Bacterial small subunit ribosomal RNA", at positions 356 to 774 of the family's 1533-position model. The record is from RNAcentral. Lineage: Bacteria; Bacillati; Bacillota; Clostridia; Eubacteriales.
GGGGAAUAUUGCGCACUGGGGGAAACCCUGACGCAGCAAUACCGCUUGAGUGAAGAAGGUUUUCGGAUCGUAAAGCUCUGUUAUUGGGGAAGAAAAAAAGACGGUACCCAAGAAGAAAGUCCCGGCUAACUACGUGCCAGCAGCCGCGGUAAUACGUAGGUGGCAAGCGUUAUCCGGAUUUACUGGGUGUAAAGGGCGUGUAGGCGGGACUGCAAGUCAGAUGUGAAAACUAUGGGCUCAACCCAUAGCCUGCAUUUGAAACUGUAGUUCUUGAGUGUCGGAGAGGCAAUCGGAAUUCCGGGUGUAGCGGUGAAAUGCGUAGAUAUACGGAGGAACACCAGUGGCGAAGGCGGAUUGCUGGACGAUAACCGACGCUGAGGCGCGAAAGCGUGGGGAGCAAACA